This 112-nucleotide non-coding RNA is filed under the name Rhodococcus ruber. RNAcentral describes it as "Glycine". It matches the Rfam family "Glycine riboswitch aptamer". From Rfam's summary of the family: This family represents the bacterial glycine riboswitch. Lineage: Bacteria; Bacillati; Actinomycetota; Actinomycetes; Mycobacteriales; Nocardiaceae. The record is from RNAcentral.
CGUCUCUGGAAAGCGGUGGGAGCACCCACCCGCCCACGGGGAAAGGGCCGGUUCGUUCCGGUACCGAAUCUCUCAGGCGCUCGCUCGACGAGCUCGCGACAGAGGGGGAGGA